RNAcentral lists this long non-coding RNA (1190 nucleotides) under Triticum aestivum (bread wheat). Its description in RNAcentral is "long non-coding RNA (TAES_LNC006553)". Lineage: Eukaryota; Viridiplantae; Streptophyta; Magnoliopsida; Poales; Poaceae. The record is from RNAcentral.
AGCAGGUCACGCAUGCUGCCGGGCACAGGUUGGACUUCAUGAUGUCCUCGAGCAGUGCAAGAACCUCAAGGCUCAGCUCGUCUGACGGAAGGAUAUCCUCGGCAGCCUCGGCUACCAUCACCAGGUGGCUGCUCCACAGGAGAGCAAGAAAGAGCAGCACCCCCAUCACCUUACGUGCAGGCAUCUUGCUGCGAGUCAUUGUGUGUUGAGUGUGAGAGAGUUGUAUGCUAGCUGUGUGUUUGGGAGUGGUACUGUGUGGGCGUGCUCUUUAUAGAAUAUGAGGAGUGAAUGAUUGUGACAAAGAAACUUACUUUCUGAUUGUGUCCUCCACGAUGCACAUGUGCUCUUCUUCUUCAUAUAUACUUACUAUCUUCUUUGACUGUGUCCGUGUGGUAAUUAACCUUGUAUGAAUUUUAGUUACUAUUGGCCACCAUUUAAAAAUCCCAGUUCCCAAACAGCCCAGCCCAACCCAGCCAGUGGAAACAUACAUACAUACAUAUUUUCAUUAAUCAAACAAACAAAUCUCUAAAUUGAUCAAAGGUAAUUCAGUGCAUUGCAUGAAAUCAAAGGUAACUCAUUUAUAGCGUAUGUGGUUUCGGCAUCGGCGUGAUUACAAGAACAUUAAGAUGAAGAAGAAGUGGGAGUGGGACUCAAAACCCUCCUUCGAUCGACCCAUCCGAUAGAAGCAUGCAUGGCAGAAGCGACUAGCUAGUUGUAGCAAAUUAGAAUCGACAAAAAAAAAAUUGCAUCAAGUUGGGCAACAUCAAAAGCUUAAUCUAAAAAUCAUGAGGUUGGUUUGUACGGGUCAUCUCGAUCUAAUCUAAACAAAACAAACAAACAAAAAACCAUGGCCAAAGUCUAAAAGGAACGGUCUCGCGAACAAACCGAGUUAUCAAGUUGGCACGAUCGAACCACGACGCCAUGAACAAACCUUACCUGGUCUAAAGAGCUAGCUCCUUUAACUUGGAAGGCCAAGCACAUGGCAUGCCCUCCCUCCCUCCCUGAUCACUAUCUUACUUACUUGGGAAGAAGAGCUUUGCUCUCCUCCGUCUUGUUAUUGCGAGAGGAGAGGAGGGAGCGUCUUAGCUAGGUUUCCCUAGAGAUAUAGUAUAAGUGAGCGAGGGCCAAGAGAGAGAGAGAGCGGAGGCUCGGUGGUCACGGCUCCUACUGGAUGCAGUUAGCUUUGGCUC